This 580-nucleotide long non-coding RNA is filed under the name Phaseolus vulgaris (common bean). Its description in RNAcentral is "long non-coding RNA (PVUL_LNC001713)". Lineage: Eukaryota; Viridiplantae; Streptophyta; Magnoliopsida; Fabales; Fabaceae. The record is from RNAcentral.
AGUGGUCGUGCCCUCAAUCCACGUGGCAAGUGGGGCCGCCUCACGUGCCACCUCACGUGCUGCUUCUUUAACGUUUGGACUUCCUUUCUUAAUCUCGCGACACGUGGCCCCAUCAACGGCCAGCGCUGUGCGUCGCUAGCGCUUCUUUCAUUCAAAUUGGCGCGCCCUUCCACUGUUCCUUCAUCUUCUUCAUUUGACUCCCAGACUCUCUGCGAACCUCUCUUCUGCGCACCCGUCUUUCUUCAAAUUCUCUGUGAUCCUAAACUCUUACGAUCAUUCAAAGGUAUGGUUUUUCUUUUCCCUGGCCCCUUUUUGGUCAUCUUUACCGAUUGCAUUUAUCAUUCUAGUUAUCAUGCAUCCAUCUUCCCUGUUUUUCUUCUUCUCAACCCGCGCUAGGGUUUUUCUCAUGUUUCCGCUUUGACUUCUGCCUCCCCUUCUUUCUCCUUUACCUGGGCAUUUCUUCCUCAUUCCCUCUCUCUGUUUUUCACCGAACCAUCCAUCACUCUCUCCCUUUCUAUUUCUGACCCCUCGUUUUCCUCCAUUGCAGCUAUCUCUCGAUGGCUCGCUUGAAGCAGACCGC